AUUAGACAUUAAUAACACGGAUGAUGCUGGAUUUGUGAAGCGAGAAUGAGAAGAUGCUUACUCUGUGUGGAGAAUGUGGGAAAGGAAGAGCGGUGGAUUAUGGGUCACAUACAAGGCGGGACUCACGUUCAUAUCCGGGUCAUUUGCUUUGUUCGUGUUUUUCGAAGCGCGACAUGGUUUCUGUGUUGAACUACAUCUCCCAUGAUUCCGUGCGCCGCGACAGGAAGCGCUCACGCACAGCAGCAGCGUUUACAAGUGGAAACGAAGAAUGAUUAAAUUCAGAUUAUCAAUCAGAAAGAGUCAAAUGUUUGAAAUGCAUUCCAUUUAGUAAACAGCGAAACGGACUCCAAAAUCAGUGAGAGACUCGUAUUGAUUUCAUUGUUGAGGAUGAUUUCAUCAGAACAUCUUCAUUAGACUGGAUAGCACAUCCUGCCAUUAUUGUGAAAUGAAUAUUUUCUUGUGUGUCCUGAAGAACUGUCUGUGUGUGUGUUUCUCCAGUCCCUCAUCAGGAACAAGAUCAUCAGUCUCUCCUUUAUUAAAGCACAUGAGUUCAGCAGACUGUUUUCUCCUCUUGCUCCUCUAUUAUGACCUGUUUUGAUCCCAAACACUGUAUUUUUAUGUGCAUUAAAGUGAUGGUUUCACAGGAAGUCAUAAUAUCAAUGUUUGUAUUGUGUUGUGUUAGUCUCAUUGAGCGGUUUAAAGAUGAACAACAGCAUAGUUAACAUAUUAAACAUUCAUCAACCAGAUGAGAUUCACUAGAAACACAUUAAGGUUCCUUUUUGUUGAACAUGAACUAAUAACUAAAUAUACCUAUAAAGGAUAGUAGUUAUAGAAACAGUUCAGCCAGAAAUUAUAAUGUUCUCAUCUUCAUGUCAUCCAAGAUCAGGAUGAGUUUGUUUCUUCAUCAGGUUUGUAGAAAUGUAGCAUUGCAUCAGUGUCUCAUCAAUGGAUGCUCUGCAGUGAAUGGGUGCCGUCAGAAUGAGAGUCUGAUAAAAACAUCACAAUAAUCCACAGCACUCCAGUCCAUCAGUGAAUAUCUGGAGAAGACAAAAGAUGAAACACAUCCAGCAUUUUUAACUAAAAUAUGAGUCUAUAAUCUAUAAUAACACUUCCUCCUGAAUCAGGAGAGAAAUCUGCACAGAUCAAGCAGCGUUUAAACAGAUCUAAACAAAUCUGUGAGAGACAACAGCAGAUGCACUUUUUCACUGGAGGAAGGUGUUCUUAUGUUAGUAAUAUGAAUAGUAUAAAACAAGCACAAACACUCGAGUUACAAAAUGUAUUUUAUUUGCACAUUUAUUUCCAGUGACAUUUAAACGUACAUCAGAUUGUGUUUACCGCUGUUUAUAGGCUGAAUUACAUGAAGAUUCAAAAGAGCACAACUGGCCUGACUCUAUAUUCCACAUACGCACACAGUGCUCAUAGACACAAACAGACGCGACCUUUGACCUUUGUGUACACAGGUUAUGCC
Carassius gibelio (silver crucian carp) is the source of this 1468-nucleotide long non-coding RNA. RefSeq lists it as uncharacterized. The record is from RefSeq and is a predicted model, not a curated record. The transcript has 2 exons. NCBI's taxonomy places the organism in Eukaryota, Metazoa, Chordata, Actinopteri, Cypriniformes, Cyprinidae.